RNAcentral lists this small RNA (254 nucleotides) under Paenibacillus sp. OK003. RNAcentral describes it as "BsrG". Lineage: Bacteria; Bacillati; Bacillota; Bacilli; Caryophanales; Paenibacillaceae. The record is from RNAcentral.
GCAACAGAAAGGCUAAUAUGGGCGGUCUCGGCUAACCUCUCGGAAGGGAGGUGAUGCCCCGUGGAAGUAUACCAAGCGAUGACGCUAAUGAUUUCAUUUGCGACUCUAAUUGUCUUGAUACUUACAAACAAACGGAAAUAGACCGCCCUCGGCAAAAGGAAGCGGUCUAUUUUUAGGCUUUCAUUCUAAAUCCGGAGCCGAACCGCCCUUAAAAGCGGCUGUUGCAACGGGGAGUCGUGUUGGUAUCACGGCUC